AUGAGUUGCAAAGUAUUACUUAAUUCAAUUUACUGCAAGUUUACCCGUCAACUGCCUCUAAGCUGCGAUGUCUUGUCAAAAAAUCGGGUAUUUCCGAGUGUUUUGAGUGUUAAUUUCAGCACCAAAAAACAAACUAAAGUUAUUGAGAAGAAACAUUGUAAUAUAGGAACUAUAGGGCACGUAGAUCAUGGGAAGACGACACUGACUGCAGCUAUAACGAAGGUUUUAGCGUCAGACGGAUUAGCGCAAUUUGUUUCUUACGACGAAAUCGAUAAGGCCCCUGAAGAAAAAGCUAGAGGAAUAACAAUAAAUGCAGCACACAUAGGGUAUAGUACACAAGUCCGACACUACGCACAUACAGACUGCCCUGGUCAUGCAGACUACAUCCGUAAUAUGAUAUCAGGUGCAUCGCAAAUGGACGCAGCGAUUUUAGUAGUAGCUGCUAACGAUGGUCCCAUGCCUCAGACGAGAGAGCAUUUGCUUCUCGCGAAGCAAGUUGGCAUACGUUACAUAUUGGUAUUCAUUAACAAGGCUGAUUUGGUUGAUGACGAGUUACUAGAGUUGGUAGAGAUAGAAAUGCGAGAGCUGUUGACCGACUUUGGCUACGAUGGUACAACUGUGCCCAUGAUAUGCGGCUCGGCAUUGAAAGCGUUGAAUGGAGAUGAGUCGGAACUUGGUGCACCUUCAAUUCGGAAACUAUUGGACACCAUAGACAAUUAUGUCCCUGCCAUAGUGAGAGAUCUAGAAUCUCCGUUCUUAAUGCCCAUAGACAAUGCAUUCACUGUACCAGGAAGGGGCACCGUGGUUGUAGGAACAAUUAAACAUGGAAUUAUGAGAAGAAACAAUGAAGCCGACUUGAUGGGCUUUGGAUAUAAUAUUAAGACAACACUGUCAGAUAUACAGAUUUUUAAGAAAAGUGUUACUGAGGCUCUAGCCGGCGACAAUGUCGGCGUCCUACUCCGAGGUUUGAAAUUGAAAUCGGUAGAAACUGGAAUGCUGCUGUGUGCAUCGAAACAGUACCAGCUGAGCAACCAUUAUAAAGCCAAAAUAUAUUUCUUGACGAGAAACGAAGGUGGUAGAAAGAAACCUGUGUUUUCAAAGUAUACGCAACAGAUGUUUAGUGGCACUUGGAAUAUUGCUUGCAGGGUUGAUUUAGACCCAUCUAUACACAUGAUGAUGCCAGGCGAUCACGGUGAAGUGUACUUAACGCUUCUAGAAGGCAUGGUGAUGACGCAAGGACAGCCAUUCACGAUCAGAGAGAACAAUGUUACUGUUGCCACGGGAAUUAUAACAGAGACCUUACAAACUAUAGAUGUGCCCAAAGGAAAGCUUGGUAAAGUUAUUAUGAAGUUUGAAGAAGUUUAAAAUAAGGAAAGAAAACGCAUACGUCCGGACGUGUGGCGCUGGUACGUUUCAUAAAGUGACAUCUCCAGUCAGCGGCGACGACUGUAAAGGCAUCGCGUCCCUUAGUCGAUUUUUUGCAAUUUGACUAAUCAGGUAAAAAGUCAUAAUUUGACGGAAAUCGAUAUCUUUACACUACACAGUGACUAGAUCUAUUUUUUGCGACUAGGACAUUAAUAAAACAUUGUAUGCUAGUUACAAAUGUUUUUGUGGGCCAUUAAAGGUCUUUCAGUUCGUAAUUGCCUACUUACCGCUCUUGUAACAUAAUGUAUACAUACUAGAUAUGAGCGCCGAUAAAUAGACCAACCGGCGGCGCGAGCGCGACCAUAAAACGAAUUUGUAUAACGGUGUUUGUUACAAAUACUUUUUGAAAGGAAAAAAAUAAAAUAACGUAUUUU
This is an RNA transcript of Hyposmocoma kahamanoa, 1799 nucleotides long. It is a transcript of the gene named elongation factor Tu-like, with no coding region annotated. Lineage: Eukaryota; Metazoa; Arthropoda; Insecta; Lepidoptera; Cosmopterigidae. The transcript has 8 exons. The record is from RefSeq and is a predicted model, not a curated record.